GACGAACGCUGGCGGCGUGCUUAACACAUGCAAGUCGAACGGUGAAGCGAGUGCUUGCACUCGUGGAUCAGUGGCGAACGGGUGAGUAACACGUGAGUAACCUGCCCAUCACUCUGGGAUAAGCACUGGAAACGGUGUCUAAUACUGGAUACGACCAACCCUUGCAUGGGGUGUUGGUGGAAAGAUUUAUCGGUGAUGGAUGGACUCGCGGCCUAUCAGCUUGUUGGCGGGGUAAUGGCCCACCAAGGCGACGACGGGUAGCCGGCCUGAGAGGGUGACCGGCCACACUGGGACUGAGACACGGCCCAGACUCCUACGGGAGGCAGCAGUGGGGAAUAUUGCACAAGGGGCGAAAGCCUGAUGCAGCGACGCCGCGUGAGGGAUGACGGCCUUCGGGUUGUAAACCUCUUUCAGCAGGGAAGAAGCGAAAGUGACGGUACCUGCAGAAGAAGCACCGGCUAACUACGUG
Molecule: ribosomal RNA, 469 nt
Filed under: uncultured bacterium
Lineage: Bacteria
Description: partial 16S ribosomal RNA
Rfam family: Bacterial small subunit ribosomal RNA
Source: RNAcentral